This 701-nucleotide ribosomal RNA is filed under the name uncultured fungus. Its description in RNAcentral is "SSU rRNA". It matches the Rfam family "Eukaryotic small subunit ribosomal RNA", at positions 392 to 1094 of the family's 1831-position model. Lineage: Eukaryota; Fungi. The record is from RNAcentral.
GAGCCUGAGAAACGGCUACCACAUCCAAGGAUGGCAGCAGGCGCGCAAAUUACCCAAUCCCGACACGGGGAGGUAGUGACAAUAAAUAACAAUACGGGGUUCUUUAGGAUCUCGUAAUUGGAAUGAGUACAAUUUAAAUCUCUUAACGAGGAACAAUUGGAGGGCAAGUCUGGUGCCAGCAGCCGCGGUAAUUCCAGCUCCAAUAGCGUAUAUUAAAGUUGUUGCAGUUAAAAAGCUCGUAGUUGAAUUUCGGGGUUAGUAGGUUGGUCAUGCCUCUGGUAUGUACUGGUCUCACUGAUUCCUCCUUCCUUAUGAACCGUAAUGCCAUUAAUUUGGUGUUGCGGGGAAUUUGGAUUGUUACUUUGAAAAAAUUAGAGUGUUUAAAGCAAGCUAACGCUUGAAUACAUUAGCAUGGAAUAAUGAAAUAGGACGUUCGAUCUUAUUUUGUUGGUUUCUAGGAUUGACGUAAUGAUUAAUAGGGAUAGUUGGGGGCGUUAGUAUUCAAUUGUCAGAGGUGAAAUUCUUGGAUUUAUUGAAGACUAACUACUGCGAAAGCAUUUGCCAAGGAUGUUUUCAUUAAUCAAGAACGAAAGUUAGGGGAUCGAAGACGAUCAGAUACCGUCGUAGUCUUAACCAUAAACUAUGCCGACUAGGGAUCGGAUGAUGUUAAUUUUUUAAUGACUCAUUCGGCGCCUUACGGG